GUAGGUGGCAAGCGUUGUCCGGAAUUAUUGGGCGUAAAGCGCGCGCAGGCGGUUCUUUAAGUCUGAUGUGAAAGCCCACGGCUCGACCGUGGAGGGUCAUUGGAAACUGGAGAACUUGAGUACAGAAGAGGAAAGCGGAAUUCCACGUGUAGCGGUGAAAUGCGUAGAGAUGUGGAGGAACACCAGUGGCGAAGGCGACUUUCUGGUCUGUAACUGACGCUGAGGCGCGAAAGCGUGGGGAGCAAACAGGGAUUAGAUACCCUGGUAGUCCACGCCGUAAACGAUGAGUGCUAAGUGUUAGGGGGGUUUCCGCCCCCCUUAGUGCUGCAGCUAACGCAUUAAGCACUCCGCCUGGGGAGUACGGCCGCAAGGCUG
RNAcentral lists this ribosomal RNA (375 nucleotides) under uncultured organism. RNAcentral's name for it is "partial 16S ribosomal RNA". It matches the Rfam family "Bacterial small subunit ribosomal RNA", at positions 527 to 896 of the family's 1533-position model. The record is from RNAcentral.